Molecule: long non-coding RNA, 1393 nt
Filed under: Elaeis guineensis (African oil palm)
Lineage: Eukaryota; Viridiplantae; Streptophyta; Magnoliopsida; Arecales; Arecaceae
Description: long non-coding RNA (EGUI_LNC003689)
Source: RNAcentral
CCCCUCAAAAUAUGUGCUUGUCACCUUCCAACAUUAGUCAGCACUUCCCUGCAUAAUCUUCCAACACUGAUGACUUAAAUCACUAUUACUUGUUGUUUAGCAGAAACUGAUGCUGUUUCUUCAGUAAUUUUGCUUGGAGCGUUCUGGUGAUGAGAGGAUGUCGAAAGUAUCCGCAGGCUGCAUCCUGGCAAUGAGAACCAACUGCCGUUCUUUUAUAUGUUUAAUGGCAAUAAACAUGUUGGAACUUGCAAGUAUCCUGGUGCAAAAGGAGCUAUUUCUCCGAAAGCUGGACCCGACUUGCAUGAUUUUUUAAAAACUCGUUUGAUUCAUGAAAAAAAUAAAUAAAUAAAUAAAAAUCAAUUUUUUAUAAAUAAUUUUUUAAAAAAAUAUUUUUUCAAAAUAUGAUUUGACAUAUUUGAUAGACUAUAAAAAAAUGAUUUAUAUCAGAAUAAUUUAUAUUUGUUAAACAUCUAUUUUUUAAAAAAAAUUAUAUAAAAUAACUAUUAUAUCUUAAUAAAUAUAAGAUCUUUCCGUUCCUAAACUUUAUAUAAAUAAUUAUAUUAUAUUAUAUUAAUAUAAAUAUAACAAUAGUAUAUUAUAAUAUAAUACUAGAUCAUAAUAAUUUAUUAUAUUAACAUAAUACUAAAUAUAUAUAGUAAUAUUAUAUUAAUAUAAUACUAAUAUUUUAAUAUAAUAAAUUUAUUAAUAUAUAUAUAUUAAAUAUAAUAUCAAAUAUAAUAUUAUAUUAAUAUAAUAUUAAUAUAUUAAUAUAAAUAUUAUAUUAAUAUUAAUAAAAAUAUUUUGUAAAAUUUUAAUCAUAAAUUUUAAAAAAUAUUUUUUGAAAAAAAAAUCAUUAAUUUCUAUCCCUUAAAAAAUCUCAAAAUCUAUCUCUCUAAUGAAUUUUCACUUCCCAUAGAAAGAGCUUUUACCAUUUUCUUUCUCUUAAAAUUCUAAUCAAAUAAGAAGACUCCUCUCCACUUUUUAAAAAUUAUAUUUUUUCCUCCUCUACUUCUCGUGAACCAAAUGAGUCCUAAAGAACUAAAAUGACAAAUGCUUAUAAGCUGUUGUCAAAUGGCAACUCAGUGCAUUUUUGACUGGUGCGUCUAAGGGCCACUGUAUUACAUGCCACUAUUUGAGAUUUAUGUAUGAUCUGCUCCCGGAGCCAAGCAUCAACCUCAAAGUUCAAAAAUAGCUUGAAGCCAUGCAUGAAUGGAAUAAAGGUUUGCACAAUGAGCAAACCUACAUCCCAAGACUCAGGCACUUACACAACCACCAAAAUGGGGGAUCAGACACUAAUAAAAAAAGGAUACACCAAUCUGCAGCACUACCUGUACAACCGCAUCAGCCAUCACAGAACCGAGCUAAACUGGAACAAGGCAGGGCCCAUGUUAUG